Long non-coding RNA from Sinocyclocheilus anshuiensis, 1627 nucleotides. The record is from Ensembl. Lineage: Eukaryota; Metazoa; Chordata; Actinopteri; Cypriniformes; Cyprinidae.
CGCUUCCACAUAUAUUCAAGAGGGACACAAAAGGCGCCCUCAUCGCGGAAUGUAUUUUAUAAAAUAAACAUUGCGAAUAUAACAAACAUUUUUCUCAUAUACAAUUAUGACGUAUUUUCUUUUCAAACUCAACACUACAGACAGAUCCGAAACUGAAUUACGGCGUCUCUUAGCAACGGCGAUGUCUCCACGGCAACAUUCUAAUCCGCCUGUCGAACAGCUUCAGUAGGGUAAUUCAAGCAACAAAAUACUCGCGCUUCGUCAACAGUAAAAGAUGAAAAGCUUUGCUGUGUUCAAAAUUAAAGCUCGGAUUAUAAAACCAAUGAAGGGGAGCAAAAUAUCGCUGUUUAUGAAUUGUUUUUGAGAAGUGACUCGUGGAGGGGUAACAGACACGACCGCGUGACAGUGAUGCUGUGACUAAAUUCACUAUUAUCUAUCCCUGCAACCUGCAUUGCUGUGCAAAAACCUGUCAAAUAGUGAAUACUUGCACUUACCGGCAGGAUGGACCCCAGUGUGCUCAUAUUCUUACUUUACGUGAUGAUAGCCCACGGGCUGGUGUGUGGACUGAUGCAGUACAGGAGACAAGCAGCCAAACCUCACAAAUGCCUAAUGUGGUGCUCCAGUUCUCGUGUCUGUCAUGGAACGUGGAGAGUCAGUAGCCAGCCGGUGCGGACAGGGAGACGAGACUUGAAGAAAACUGGACGUAUUGUCAGGAAAGCGUGACACAAGGGCUGCUGUGGACAUACGAUCCAUAAACGUGGUUCCUAAUCAUCCUUUCUGCACUGUGAUCAAUCACUGAAGCUAUGCUGGACCGCUCACUAGUUCAUGAUUAUAUAAUCUCAACUGUGUGAUGCUCAUAGUUUACAGUUUUCCUAUUCUCUGUCAUUGUGGACAUCUUUAGAGGUUAAUUUCUAGCUAUAGUUCACCUAGAAAUUGAAAUUCUGUCAUCAUUUACUCACCCUCAUUGUCGUUGCAAACAUGUAUGAGAAAUUUUGAAAAAUUAAUUUACUGUAUUUUUUUCUGCAGUUACAAUGCUUCAAAAUAGACACAAACAGCAAGUGAUCCACAUUUUCUGAAGCCAUAUGAUAGCUGUGCAUGAGGAGCAGACCAUUUUGUUGUGUUCCACAGAGAAAAGAAAGUAAGUCACACACAUUUGGAAUAACAUAAGGGUGAGAAAACAAUGGCAGAAUUUUAAUUUACGAGUGAGCUAAUCUUUGAAGAAUGUUUGUAGAACCGGAUUUUUUAUUAGUGAUUUGAAAGCUGCCAUUUUUACAUAAACUUAAUAUGAGUUGUGGUAGCCAAACGCAAAGUUCAGUCACAAGCAGAGGUGAUUCAAGAUCUCUUGUCACAUUUAUAAUGUAAUAUCACUGUGCACUUGAUUAUGGAAAUUAAUCCCAGAUUGCAGCGUUUAAUCUACAUCACUUUUGAUGAAAAUCAUCUGCUAAAUUUCUGAACAUGAUUUGUAUGUUUCUUGUUCAGUUUGUUGUUUCUGCCCUUAUUACAUUUUGUAAAUGAAUUGCAAAUUCUUGUUUUAGAUGUGACAAGUCAAGUGUACGUGGAAGUUCACACUAAACCUGUGUACCCAACUGUGUAUUGAGAUUCAUUAAAUAUGCAUUUUAGCAUCAGC